Molecule: non-coding RNA, 51 nt
Organism: Bacillus cereus Rock4-18
Lineage: Bacteria; Bacillati; Bacillota; Bacilli; Caryophanales; Bacillaceae
Source: Rfam
UGCAUUUCACUCCUUUUACAUGUAUUGUAAACCUUCACACUAAUGUGAAGG